CUGCUGCCUUCCGUAGGAGUUUGGUCCGUGUCCCAGUACCAAUGUGGGGGGUUAACCUCUCAGUCCCCCUAUGUAUCGUCGCCUUGGUAAGCCGUUACCUUACCAACCAGCUAAUACAACGCAUGCCCAUCUGUAACCGCCGAAACUUUCAACCACAAGAGAUGCCUCUCAUAGUGUUAUGCGGUAUUAGCACCGAUUUCUCAGUGUUAUCCCCCUGUUACAGGUAGGUUGCAUACGCGUUACGCACCCGUGCGCCGGUCGCCAU
Molecule: ribosomal RNA, 265 nt
Filed under: uncultured bacterium
Lineage: Bacteria
Description: partial 16S ribosomal RNA
Source: RNAcentral